CAGUCGCCACGGUAAUACGAGGGGGGCAAGCGUUGUUCGGAAUUAUUGGGCGUAAAGGGUGCGUAGGCGGUUUGGCAAGUUUGGUGUGAAAUCUUCGGGCUCAACUCGAAGUCUGCAUCGAAAACUGCCGGGCUUGAGUAUGGGAGAGGUGAGUGGAAUUUCCGGUGUAGCGGUGAAAUGCGUAGAUAUCGGAAGGAACACCUGUGGCGAAAGCGGCUCACUGGACCAUAACUGACGCUGAUGCACGAAAGCUAGGGGAGCAAACAGGAUUAGAGACCCCAGUAGUCCCUGUCUCUUAUAA
This 301-nucleotide ribosomal RNA is filed under the name uncultured bacterium. RNAcentral's name for it is "partial 16S ribosomal RNA". It matches the Rfam family "Bacterial small subunit ribosomal RNA", at positions 509 to 809 of the family's 1533-position model. The record is from RNAcentral.